RNAcentral lists this ribosomal RNA (538 nucleotides) under uncultured bacterium. Its description in RNAcentral is "bacterial SSU rRNA". It matches the Rfam family "Archaeal small subunit ribosomal RNA", at positions 723 to 1269 of the family's 1478-position model. The record is from RNAcentral.
ACCCAAUAGAUACCCGGGUAGUCCCAGCUGUAAACGAUGCAGACUAGGUGUUUGGACGGCCACGUGCCGUUCUAGUGCCGCAGGGAAGCUGUUAAGUCUGCCGCCUGGGGAGUACGAUCGCAAGAUUGAAACUUAAAGGAAUUGGCGGGGGAGCACCACAAGGGGUGAAGCUUGCGGUUUAAUUGGAGUCAACGCCGGAAAUCUCACCGGGAGCGACAGCAGUAUGAAAGCCAGAUUGAAGGUCUUGCUAGACGAGCUGAGAGGAGGUGCAUGGCCGUCGCCAGUUCGUGCCGUAAGGUGUCCUGUUAAGUCAGGCAACGAUCGAGACCCGCGUCCUCUGUUGCAACCAGUUUUGUGCUGGGCACACUGAGGAGACCGCCACUGAUAAAGUGGAGGAAGGAGCGGGCCACGGCAGGUCAGUAUGCCCCGAAUCUCCCGGGCCACACGCGAGCUGCAAUGGCAAGUACAAUGGGUUCCGACCUCGAAAGGGGAGGCAAUCUCGAAAGCUUGCCGUAGUUGGAAUUGAGGGUUGUAACCC